RNAcentral lists this ribosomal RNA (497 nucleotides) under uncultured bacterium. Its description in RNAcentral is "partial 16S ribosomal RNA". It matches the Rfam family "Bacterial small subunit ribosomal RNA", at positions 28 to 507 of the family's 1533-position model. The record is from RNAcentral.
GAUGAACGCUGGCGGCGUGCCUAAUACAUGCAAGUCGAGCGAACGGACGAGAAGCUUGCUUCUCUGAUGUUAGCGGCGGACGGGUGAGUAACACGUGGAUAACCUACCUAUAAGACUGGGAUAACUUCGGGAAACCGGAACUAAUACCGGAUGAUAUUUUGAACCGCAUGGUUCAAAAGUGAAAGACGGUCUUGCUGUCACUUAUAGAUGGAUCCGCGCUGCAUUAGCUAGUUGGUAAGGUAACGGCUUACCAAGGCAACGAUGAAUAGCCGACCUGAGAGAGUGAUCGGCCACACUGGAACUGAGACACGGUCCAGACUCCUACGGGAGGCAGCAGUAGGGAAUCUUCCGCAAUGGUCGAAAGCCUGACGGAGCAACGCCGCGUGAGUGAUGAAGGUCUUCGGAUCGUAAAACUCUGUUAUUAGGGAAGAACAUAUGUGUAAGUAACUGUGCACAUCUUGACGGUACCUAAUCAGAAAGCCACGGCUAACUACGUG